CACUACGACGGAAUUAGUUGAUGGACUGUGUACGUCCCAAUGGAGCGGAUGGCUCCUGAGGCUCUGCUAUAUUGCAUUCAAAGUUACAAUUAUUGACGUCUGAAGCCAAAGCAGACAGUCAAAAGGACUUUGAAAAGACCGUUUCAAAGACCCGACCUGUGUCUGUGUUGUGAAGAGCUCCAGUGAGAACUCGGCUGCUCGACACAGGUAGGAGAGACGACGACACCGCAGCGGGUGACGACGCGCAGCAGAAACAACACAUCAGAUAAGCAAAGCCCACGAAGCAACGGUGGUUAGACUGUAGAAAGUGCAACAUUUCAGGCCAAAGCCAAGAAGUGCUCUACCACAACCUUCAAGUUAAAGUGGUGUGAGAAGUGGUCCAACUUGGAAAUUGCAAGGACUCAAGUCUAUUAACGUUGCAUACUGUGCUUAGCCUACAUGUUUGGGGAUACAUCUAAGCUACAGACAUUGGAGUUGCAGAAGAAGUGGAAAGGCUACGAAGAAGUGAAAGAACCUGAACCCUAACAGAAAAGGGAAGAGAACAUCAAGAAGAAUGGCUGAAGAGUGUACAAUGUCGUCAUCUAUGAGAAGUGGAGGUAUCAGGCAAGGAAAUAUUGACUGAUGAGGCCUCCAAGGACGAAUUGAGAACAUGAAAAGCACCUGUUCUGAUGUAAAGGCUGAAGAUAAACAACAGCACAUUGAACUGUAAAUUUGAAUCUGAGAACCUAACCAGACAGCAAGCAAUGCAAGACAAGCGUAGAAAGUUCAAACGCCUAGAAGAAGUGAAGUUGAACGCUGCAAGAGCUUGAGUAAAGGUCUACAAUCAAGUCAAAGAAAAUUGACUGAAGCAAUUGACUUGCUGCAUGAUGUUGAACCAGCAGGAGAACUUCAAGUUCUUAACCUCACAAGUCCCCCAUUAAGUCCUCAAUCUCUGCUAGUCGCAACCCAAGCCCCUCGUGCCUCAAGUCCCCCAUUCAUUCCUCAAUCUCUACCAAUUACAAGUCAAGCUAGUCCCUGAAGCCUGUCAUUGUUACCUCAAGCUCCACCAACUUCAGUGCUCAUGCCUCAAGUGCAGAUCAGCUCUGAUUUGGUCAACAUGCUAGACUAUGUCUUCCAACACACUGGAGAUCCAAAUUCAAAGACUGGCGACUAUCUUUCAAAGCAUUAAUAAACAGGAAAAACAUUCCAAAGACAGAAAAACUGUAUUACCUAAGAAAGUACUUAGAUGGUGCCACAAAGAAAGCCGUUAAGGUAUCUUAAAAAGUUAAAAGAAAAGAACACACAUAAAACAGAAUAGGGUACAUGACUCAAGCACAAAAACAUUCAGAAAAGAGAUGGCUCUUCAGCUGUGACUUAAAACAUCCAAGGGAGUUUGCUGACCUGACUCCCAGGGAGAGAGUGUUCCACAGCCUAGGACCCAGAACAGCUAAUGUACAGUCCCCUCGUGUUUUCAGUCGUGAAUGAGGUACAACUAGCAGGGCUUGUUCAGUUCCUAGGAUUUUGGAGAAACGUUUUGUAUUUGUAGCCAAUAAAGCAAGGUGUUUGAGGAUGUUAGAAGAGACCUGAUUUGGGGCAAAAACCAGAACUUUAGUUUUACUGUGAUUUAGUUGAAGAAAAUUAUAAGACAUCCAGUUACUAAUCUCGGCCAGACACGUGGGCAUAGUAGUUACAUUUGAAAGAUCACUGGGCCUAAUGGAUAAGUAGAGUUGUGUGUCAUCAGUGUUGCACUGAUAAAACACACAGCCAGAUUGACUUAUCAAAUACCCUAAGGGGAGCAUAUAUAAUGAAAAUAAAAUGGGUCCUAGAAUUGAUCCCUGAGGCACCCCACAAGUCAAAGGAGCACAGGUAGAACCUUGAAAAUGUCCGGUUGGAUAAAUAAGAAAACUUGAGUGCUACAUUAGAUAUCCCAACCCAUUUUUCCAGCCGAUCAAUUAGAGUAGCAUGGUCAAUAGUGUCAAAGGCUGCAGACAAAUCUAAGAGAACUAAAAUUGCAACUUCACCGUGGUUCAACUGCAGUGUCAUUUGUGACCCUUAGCAGAGCUGUCUCAGUGCUGCAUUUGUGACGAAAGCCUGAUUGGUAUUAAUCAAAUAUGUCAUUUUGUUCCACCAGUUCCAGAAGUUGCUUGCAGACCAUUUUUUUUCUAAAAUCUUGUAAUGUGGUGGUAUGCUAGGAUCUAGGUGCAAUUUCUUUUUUUUUUUUUUAGAAGCGGUUCAACUUCAGCCAUUUUAAAGGAUUCUGGAACAUAGCCUGAUGCAAGUGACUGGUUCAUUAUAGCAAGUAGAGACGGUCCAGUUAUGCUGAUGGCGUCUUUAAGGAGUCUGGGAGGCACAAUGUCAAGGGGACACAUGGAGGACUGAGUGUUAACAGUAUUAAUCAAAUCCCUGAGGGAGAAAAUUGAUCUAUUAGGAUGGGACAGUUGUGAGACAGCUCAGUACGAGGGCAUGGGGGGCUGGGUGACACGAUAGAAGUUCUCAUUCUGUUGAUUCUAUUUAAGAGGCAGUCAAGAGAUUUAAAAAUAUACCUACGAUUGUGUUUGUUUGUGGUGAUGAGAUUAUUGAAAUAAGCAGUUUGUGCAUCCUUAAUCUUUUGAUUCAGCAAAAUCAUCAAGUCUUUCAUUUGAUUAUAAUAGACAAGCAGUUGUGUGGUUUUCCACCUGUGCUCUGCUUGUCUACAUUGUCUUUUCACAGAGCAAAUGUCAUCAUUUAGCCAUGGAGAAGAAUUGGUCUUAGAAACUGAUUUGGUCGUAAGGGGGGUAGCAGCUUCUAGAGCAGACGCACAUAUUUCAUUAAAGUAGUUCACCAUGUCAUCAAUAUGUGAAAAGGAUAAUACUCAUUGAUCUAACACAGGAAAAAGUGGUAGAAAAUGUGGCUAUAGACCGACUGUUAAAGUAGCAACAUUUUACAGUGUGCUUCUGGCCUAAAAUGGUGGUAUCAAACAAAAUACAUUUAUGAUCAGAGAUAAAAUCAUCCAAUUUUGGAGAACUAAGUGUCAUGCCUAAGGUGAACACUAGGUCAAGUGUAUGGCCAUGGUCAUGGGUGGGACCCUUUAAAUGUUAAAUAAAAAAAUAAAAAAAAUUGACUAGAAAUAGGCCUAAGCACACAAAGACUAAUUUACACUAAUAAAAUCACUUGCUGUGGCAUUUUUUGCAUCAUCAACAUGGAAAUUAAAAUCACCAACCAUAAUCACUUGGCAGCAGCAAUAAAAUCAGAAAACUCAGAGAAAAGUUUUUAAGUUUUGGUGGAUGGUAAAUAACAAAGCAACAUACAGGAUUUGUGCAGCAGAUAAGUAACAUGAGAGCCCCAAAGCUGGUAAUUUUUUUAACAGUAAGAAGAAAACAUUUAAGCGAUUGCAAUUUUUAAAAAAACACAGCUAGGCCACCACCAUGGCCACUUAGACUAGGGGAGUUAAAAUAGCUCAAAUUUGAGGGACAUAGCUCUAAAAGUUGACUACAUUCUCCUUCCUUCAGCCAUGUUUCAGUAAAAACACAAAAAAAAGAAAAAAGCAAUUUCUGGGACAAAAUGAGAUGUUUAAGAUGCAUGUUUUAUUAGAGAGGGACCUAACAUUUAACAGACCAAAUUUUAUACAGGGGACUUUAACAUCAGGAAUGUUGAGGAACAGAUAAAAAUUUUUGGCCUAACCAGAUUAAAAUUGAUUUUGCGUGGUGGUCUGUUAUUGAUUAUAACACAGAUAAUAAAGAGGCUCUCGGGAUUGUCACAAAAAGUAUUUGGACUGUAGGGGAGCCGGUGGUACAGACAGGUGAAGAGGUCACUGGGGAGGAAGAGGAGCAAUUAGUGACUGGUGUGUAGACCUGAGCAGUUGUGGAGUAGUGGUCAGUCUUUGGCAUGAAGCUGUAGUAACUGCAUGGAAAAUGUUUUCUGAAAGUACUUUUGUGCCAUGGAGGCUGGGGUGAAUACCAUCUCUGCUAAAAAGGGAGGAUCGUUCCCAAAAAAGGUUACAAUUGUCUUUAAAAAACACAUUGUGAGAUGGACAGCCAUGUGUGGAGAGAGAGCAGUCGGCUAAAACAUCCGAUGCCCCUGCCUAAUGGGAAUAGGGCCUGAGAUGACAGUUUUUGAGUUCGUUAAAAACUUGUUUUAAAACUUCAGACUGCUGCAUGUGGGUGUUUACUGAGAAGACACGGGAUCUGCUGCAUGACGUCUACAAUUUUCGCACCUGGUAGGCAGUGGGUCACUGCAGAUUUUCAUUUAACAUGUCUUAAGACGAAAUCACCGAUGAUCAGGGACGUAAUGUGCAGUGCAGGCUUGCAGUGAUGAGAUGUGGACACAGCCUGGGGAGCAAUGUGUUCUUCUGACAGAGUGGAUGGAGAAGGGUGGACAGAGUGGUGGGCAGAAGCCUGCUGCGUCGCUGGUGUAAAAAGCGGUAUGGAGCGGCGAGCCCUAUAGCCUCAGACAUGGCUGGUGGAGGGAUCGGAGGUGACAGUGAGCUGAGGGGUCAGCUGAUGGGAAAGCAGGGGAGGUGGAGAAAAAGGCCGGAACGAGGAGGGAAGUCCUGCAGGUCGUAUAUAUUUUCCAGCUGGACGUUAUAGUGAGGAGGUGCAGGAGGAGAGCGCCUCCCUCUCCCGCUGCAACUGGAGCUGACCAGGUCUUUAGGCUUAGCCCGAGCCAUAACCAGGAGUCAUCGGGGACAGUGACUGGAGGAGGUGGAUCAGCAGCAGGAGAGAGAGCAAUGGUACCCAGCUGAUACAGUGGUGAAUGAGAGGGAAAAUGAACUGAACGAUUAUCCUCACAAUAUACUCAAUACAAGCGCUCAAGAGUGUGGAAAGUAAGCAUCCACAAAGCCAAACCAUUCAAGCAAAGACGCUG
Molecule: long non-coding RNA, 4821 nt
Organism: Siniperca chuatsi (mandarin fish)
Lineage: Eukaryota; Metazoa; Chordata; Actinopteri; Centrarchiformes; Sinipercidae
Exons: 2
Source: RefSeq, a predicted model, not a curated record